AUGUGUUUAAAUGAAUGUAGUGUAUGUGGACACUUGCUCAUCGAAGAUCUCAUUCCAAAAUCAUUUGGAGUUGGUCCCCCCUUUGCUGCUAUAACAGCCUCCACUCUUCUGGGAAGUUUUUCCACUAGAUGUUGGAACAUUGCUGCUAUAACAGCCUCCACUCUUUUGGGAAGUUUUUCCACUAGAUGUUGGAACAUUGCUGCGGGGACUUGCUUCCAUUCAGCCACAAGAGUAUUAGUGAGGUCAGGGCUCUGUGCAGGCCAGUCAAGUUCUUCCACACCGAUCUUGACUAACCAUUUCUGUAUGGACCUCACUUUAUGCACGGGGGCAUUGUCAUGCUGAAACAGGAAAUGACCUUCCUCAAACUGUUGCCACAAAGUUGGGGGCACAGAAUCGUCUAGAAUGUAAUUGUGUACUGUAGCAUUAAGAUUUCUUUUCACUGGAAGUAAGGGGCCUGAACCAUGAAAAACAGCCCCAGACCAUUAUUCCUCCUCCACCAAACUUUACAGUUGGCACUAUGCGUUCUCCUGGCAUUCUCCAAACCCAGAUUCGUCCGUGGGAUUGCCAGAUGGUGGAGCGUGAUUCAUCACUUCAGAGAACGCGUUUCCACUGCUCCAGAGUCCAAUGGCGGCGAGCUUUACACUACUCCAGCCGACGCUUGGCAUUGCGCAUGGUGAUCUUAGGCUUGUAUGCGGCUGCUCUGCCAUGAAAACCUAUUUCAUGAAGGUCCCGACUAACAGUUACUGUGCUGACGUUGCUUCCAGAAGCAGUUUGGAACUCGUACUGAGUGUUGCGACUGAGGACAGACGACUGUUACGAGCUACGAACUACAGCACUCGACAAUCCCGUUCUGUGAGCUUGUGUGGCCUACCACUUUGCGGCUAAGCCGUUGUUUCCCCUAGACUUGUUCACUUCACAAUAACAGCACUUACAGCACUUGUUAGUGAUGAUUCUGCUAUCAGAGAUGAUCUCCCAUUGGUUGUUGGUGAUCUAGCUGCUAUCAGAGAUGAUCUCCCAUUGGUUGUUGGUGAUCGAGCUGCUAUCAGAGAUGAUCUCCCAUUGGUUGUUGGCGAUCGAGCUGCUAUCAGAGAUGAUCUCCCAUUGGUUGUUGGCGAUCUAGCUGCUGUCAGAGAUGAUCUCCCAUUGGUUGUUGGCGAUCUAGCUGCUAUCAGAGAUGAUCUCCCAUUGGUUGUUGGCGAUCUAGCUGCUGUCAGAGGUGAUCUCCCAUUGGUUGUUGGCGAACGAGCUGCUAUCAGACCUGAUAUCUUCCCCCAUGGUGGUCUGUGGCCAUGUUCUCAACAUUUCAGGCGUCUCAAAUGGCACCCUAUUCCCGAUGUUAUAGUGCACUACUUUUGACCAGGGUCCAUUGGGUAGGGAACUAUAUGGGGGUGCCAUUUGGGAUGUUGCCCACGGCUGCCUCAUACUGUUGUUUUGAUCACUCCCCUCCUGCUGAUACAGGAUUGUAUUCAUUAGGUAUCAAACGGAAGACGACUUGGACUUGUCCAAUAAUAACCGACUGGUUUUGUUUUCAGUUGAAAAAUGUCCUCAAUCAUCGCCUGAUCUCAAUGUUUGUACAUAGAAUAAGUGAUUGUAGGGCCUUUUAAACACAUCUACAAUGAUGAUCUGUCUCUCUCUGAGGAUGGGUGAGGAUUUCAACCAUAAUGAUGACCUGUCUCUCUGAGGAUUUCAACCAUAAUGAUGACCCGUCUCUCUGGGGAUGGGUGUGGAUUUCAACCAUAAUGAUGACCCUUCUCUCUGAGGAUGGGUGCGGAUUUCAACCAUAAUGAUGACCCUUCUCUCUGAGGAUGGGUGCGGAUUUCAACCAUAAUGAUGACCCAUCUCUCUGAGGAUUUCAACCAUAAUGAUGACCCGUCUCUCUGAGGAUUUCAACCAUAAUGAUGACCCGUCUCUCUGAGGAUUUCAACCAUAAUGAUGACCCGUCUCUCUGAGGAUUUCAACCAUAAUGAUGACCCAUCUCUCUGGGGAUUUCAACCAUAAUGAUGACCCGUCUCUCUGAGGAUUUCAACCAUAAUGAUGACCCGUCUCUCUGAGGAUUUCAACCAUAAUGAUGACCCAUCUCUCUGGGGAUUUCAACCAUAAUGAUGACC
Molecule: long non-coding RNA, 2108 nt
Organism: Oncorhynchus tshawytscha (Chinook salmon)
Lineage: Eukaryota; Metazoa; Chordata; Actinopteri; Salmoniformes; Salmonidae
Source: Ensembl